Molecule: ribosomal RNA, 467 nt
Filed under: uncultured bacterium
Lineage: Bacteria
Description: partial 16S ribosomal RNA
Rfam family: Bacterial small subunit ribosomal RNA
Source: RNAcentral
GGUGAACGCUGACAGAAUGCUUAACACAUGCAAGUCAACUUGAAUUUGGGUUUUUAACUUAGGUUUGGGUGGCGGACGGGUGAGUAACGCGUAAAGAACUUGCCUCACAGCUAGGGACAACAUUUGGAAACGAAUGCUAAUACCUAAUAUUAUGAUAAUAGGGCAUCCUAUAAUUAUGAAAGCUAUAAGCGCUGUGAGAGAGCUUUGCGUCCCAUUAGCUAGUUGGAGAGGUAACGGCUCACCAAGGCGAUGAUGGGUAGCCGGCCUGAGAGGGUGAUCGGCCACAAGGGGACUGAGGCACGGCCCUUACUCCUACGGGAGGCAGCAGUGGGGAAUAUUGGACAAUGGACCAAGAGUCUGAUCCAGCAACUCUGUGUGCACGAUGAAGUUUUUCGGAAUGUAAAGUGCUUUCAGUUGGGAAGAAAGAAAUGACGGUACCAACAGAAGAAGUGACGGCUAAAUACGUG